Molecule: long non-coding RNA, 108 nt
Organism: Etheostoma spectabile (orangethroat darter)
Lineage: Eukaryota; Metazoa; Chordata; Actinopteri; Perciformes; Percidae
Exons: 3
Source: RefSeq, a predicted model, not a curated record
GUGCACCUGUAGGCAGUGGCGUAGUCAGAAAUAGUAUUUUGGGCAGGCCAGUACAAAAGUGAGUGGGCCAGUUUCAAAAAGACGUAGAAGUAGCAAAAAGGACAAACU